This 492-nucleotide ribosomal RNA is filed under the name uncultured bacterium. RNAcentral describes it as "partial 16S ribosomal RNA". It matches the Rfam family "Bacterial small subunit ribosomal RNA", at positions 29 to 507 of the family's 1533-position model. The record is from RNAcentral.
AGUGAACGCUGGCGGUAGGCCUAACACAUGCCAGUCGAACGGCAGCACAGUAAGAGCUUGCUCUUACGGGUGGCGAGUGGCGGACGGGUGAGGAAUACAUCGGAAUCUACUUUUUCGUGGGGGAUAACGUAGGGAAACUUACGCUAAUACCGCAUACGACCUACGGGUGAAAGCAGGGGAUCUUCGGACCUUGCGCGAUUGAAUGAGCCGAUGUCGGAUUAGCUAGUUGGCGGGGUAAAGGCCCACCAAGGCGACGAUCCGUAGCUGGUCUGAGAGGAUGAUCUGCCACACUGGAACUGAGACACGGUCCAGACUCCUACGGGAGGCAGCAGUGGGGAAUAUUGGACAAUGGGCGCAAGCCUGAUCCAGCCAUACCGCGUGGGUGAAGAAGGCCUUCGGGUUGUAAAGCCCUUUUGUUGGGAAAGAAAAGCAGCAGGUUAAUACCCCGCUGUUCUGACGGUACCCAAAGAAUAAGCAUCGGCUAACUUCGUG